Molecule: ribosomal RNA, 498 nt
Filed under: uncultured bacterium
Lineage: Bacteria
Description: partial 16S ribosomal RNA
Rfam family: Bacterial small subunit ribosomal RNA
Source: RNAcentral
GAUGAACGCUAGCGGCAGGCCUAAUACAUGCAAGUCGAACGGGAUUGAGGAGCUUGCUCCUCAUGAGAGUGGCGCACGGGUGCGUAACACGUAUGUAACCUACCUUAAUCAGGGGGAUAGCCUCUCGAAAGAGAGAUUAACACCGCAUAAAAUCACACUAUGGCAUCAUAGAAUGAUCAAAUAUUUAUAGGAUUAAGAUGGGCAUGCGGAAGAUUAGCUAGUCGGUAAGGUAACGGCUUACCAAGGCUACGAUGUUUAGGGGAUCUGAGAGGAUGGCCCCCCACACUGGUACUGAGACACGGACCAGACUCCUACGGGAGGCAGCAGUAAGGAAUAUUGGUCAAUGGACGCAAGUCUGAACCAGCCAUGCCGCGUGCAGGAAGACGGCCCUACGGGUUGUAAACUGCUUUUAUACCGGAAUAAACCUUUCUACGUGUAGAGAGCUGAAUGUACGGUAAGAAUAAGGAUCGGCUAGCUCCGUGCCAGCCGCCGCGGUAA